RNAcentral lists this ribosomal RNA (400 nucleotides) under phytoplankton environmental sample. RNAcentral describes it as "partial small subunit ribosomal RNA". It matches the Rfam family "Eukaryotic small subunit ribosomal RNA", at positions 587 to 986 of the family's 1831-position model. The record is from RNAcentral.
AGCUCCAAUAGCGUAUAUUAAAGUUGUUGCAGUUAAAAAGCUCGUAGUUGGAUUUCUGGCAGGAGCGGCCGGCCAUGCGCUCUGCGCGUGAGUUUGCGCUGUCUCUGGCCAUCCUCGGGGAGAUCGCGUUUGGCAUUAAGUUGUCGGGCGUGGGAUACCCGUCGUUUACUGUGAAAAAAUUAGAGUGUUCAAAGCAGGCUUAGGCCGUUGGAUACAUUAGCAUGGAAUAAUGAGAUAGGGCCACCGCGGUCUAUUUUGUUGGUUUGCACGUUGUGGUAAUGAUUAACAGGAACGGUUGGGGGUAUUCGUAUUCAAUUGUCAGAGGUGAAAUUCUUGGAUUUGUGGAAGACGAACUACUGCGAAAGCAUUUACCAAGGAUGUUUUCAUUAAUCAAGAACGA